This is a long non-coding RNA of Astatotilapia calliptera (eastern happy), 6483 nucleotides long. Lineage: Eukaryota; Metazoa; Chordata; Actinopteri; Cichliformes; Cichlidae. The record is from Ensembl.
UGAUGUCCACAAUUCUUUUUUAUUCCUCUCACAAUCAUGAAGCACUGUGAAAACUAGAAACAAGUAAAAUAAUAUUAAGAGCACAUACGACAUCCAUGUCAACCAGUUAUUACUUUUCACAAAGUGCACAAGUGCUUAACAAAUUAGCCAGCAUGUUUUUACUGUGUACGCCUUGUAAAACCAGCAGUAGAGAAGUUGUAGAUUCCAUGUUCUGUGUUAUCGUUGUCUUGUCUCUCCGGCGCACAACUUCCAGUUCCCGCAACUCACAGGAAGUGACUACUUCAGAAUAAUUUUUAACAGAAACAUUUUUUAUAAAAAUGUAUCACUGGACUCAUAGAUUAUCUCUUUCUACUAUAAGUGUACACAAACAUGAGUCCCAAAUACAGGAAAACAAAUAGAAAACAAUACAACAACCUCAGACACGCUUCUGGUGUUGUCAUGGCAACCCACACAAACAUUUUAUCAUCAGCUACAUUCAGUAUGGUCACUUGUUAUUGUUAGCCCCUUCCCAAUAUUGUGGAAAACAUCUUAUUUUACUGUCACUGUAUAUCAUUCAUAAAGCACUGUCAUUAUUUCAUUAUUACUUCAUUAGUCCGCAUCAGCUUAUCAUCAAUAUUAUCAUGUAUCACAAUACUCUAUCAGUUAGUAGAGCACCAGUUUAGCUGGGGGUCCAGUCAGCCCGCAGUAAAGUCAUAUGAGGACACGGUGAACUUUUGUUGGCCGGAAACGGACACUCUCACACAACUACACAUUCUACACACUAUUGGUUAUGUUCCCAGAAUACAGAGGAGUGGAAACAUCUGGAACAUGUUGUUGUUCUUAGCCAUACAAGGACAUAGAAGGGUGAACUGACUGAUACUUAUCAGGUGAUUUGACGUCAUCAUUGCAAUAAAAGCCUUGUGUUAGGGUUGUUCUGGGGAGAUUGGCUCGUGAAGGCUGGUGGGGCUCAUCUUCCCCAUAUGUACAUAUGUAUAAUAAAAUCACUAUUCUGACAUCUACUGAGAGACCAUGCAGUCAUUUGUCUCUUCCUCAAAUUCGAACCUUGACAUUUUGGUGCCGAAACACCGGUUUGAGGGGAGACUAAUGGACCUUGGCUGACGGUCUAGUGGUGUCAGACGGACGGCCAGGAGCUCGACUGAGUGAUGGGCCCCGAAAUAGGAGAGGUAAGCACCGCCUGUUGUUGGAUCUCCAAAGGUGCUGAAUUGGAAAUCAAGCUAAAUUAAAUGUUCACUCAGUGGAGCUUCUGUUCUGUCCGUGGUGAUUUUGGGGUAAUUAGUGUUAAAACUUAAGGGGGAAUAUUUGAAGUGAACUGUUGAGUUAAGAGGUUAUGUGUUUAAGUCAAUACGGUUUAAAAGGUUUAAAGGUUUAAAUGUGGGGUGGUUGGGUGCCAGCCAAUCACCCCACCCGGUAGCGUAGGGUAUGUGGUUUAAUUGAUCAGUAAAAACGCGGUUUUGGGUCUCAGGUAAUUAAACUGGAGGGCAGGGUACCCACAGUGAGGCUUUUAAAAUAAGUAAAUUUAAUUAGGACGGGGGCGUGGCCCCUAGGAAUGCAGUCUGUUCAGCAGGUGGCGCUGACCCCUAAUUGCGGACGCGUGGUUAGGUUUUAAGCUCGGAGUGGCUCUCCGUGGGACUUCGGACACCCGUUAAUAAAGCUAGGUGAUCUACGAGUGAUUGCCUUAAUACUGCAUUAAUUGACUGACAGGGUCGCGGACCCGGCCAGGACCACCCAACGUCGUUGGCCUGAGAGCUUUAAGUAAAGCUGAAGGCGUGGGUUUGAUACUAGCGCCAGAGGUGGAGCUCCUUCCCAGCUGCGGGAAAUGGUUAUAAAUCAAUUAGAGCUUAGGAAUUAGACUGCGAUCGGGAGGGCGGGUCCCGAAGCGUGUAAUUGAUCAGAAAGGCGCGGCCUGGGCUACAGAGGCUUUUAAAUUAGUCAAAAAGUUUAGGUACACCAGCAGAGAAAUAGAGAAAAGAAGCUGGUCUGGCAUGUGGUGUUUUUCUUACGUUUAUACGGGCCCGUGUGUAAAUAGAAUAUAAAUUACCGGUGUGUGUAAAUAAAGUGUAAAAUAGUGGUAUAAAUUGUCUGUUGAAUUUCUCCUGAGUGUUGAAAAAAGGAAAAACUCUUUUCUGCUCUCUCUGAGAGAGGGGCUGUGUGUGUGUGUGACAGGAAGAGUGCAUGCCCAUAGAAGGAAAGAGAUGAGGUAAACUCUGUGCAGAUAGACCGAAGUAAAAAAAAAAAAAGGAAAAGUGUGUCUCUCUCUCUGUCUCAAGCAGUUGCAAGGAGGGGGGCUUCUAACCCCGCGGUGUGUGUAUGAGGAGAGAAGGAGAGAGAGGGGGGCAGCGUGCGUCCAUUUAAUAUUGAGGAAAGUGCAGAAACAGUUUUUUUUUUUUUUUUUUUCUGUUUCUUUAAGUUUGAAUGGGCAUGAAGCGAAUGGAGGUUACGGAUAAAUAACGGUGGACUUCUCUCAACCUGGAAUUUUGGGUACGGCGCCAAAACCAGUAGAGUAACAUAAUUGGGAGAAAACAGGCCGGAUUUUGGCUUAAAAAGUUUUACAGCUUGACCUCCCACUUGUCCCGAUCCUGAGAAGAAGCUCAAAGGACAAUUAAUCUCCUGAUGAAGACCAAUAGAACAUCGUGAACUUGAGAAGAAUUUACAAGCAGCCGAAAAUAGUGCAACUGAACUGUUAACCCUGAAACCAAAACUGACAUGCACUCUGAGUUACAGGCUGGACAGUUGAACGGUGGGAAAGCACUGGACACUGAUUGUCAGAUUUGCCAUGCUUGGAGUAAUCGUGAAAGAGACGAUUGAAGCAUCAACAGCGAAGAAGAAACCACGUGAUGGACAAUGCACGGUGGACUGCAGGCUGGUAAGAACAGUGUGAUAUGACACUGAACGUGAUAUUUUGCCAGGCUGGGAUUUAAUCCAGAAGGAAAUACUGAAGAGAAACGGAGAAGAAACGGACUGUGUGCUGGUGAAUCCAGGACAAUAAAUGGACACUGAGAGAAGAGGACGGGAACCUGUGUGAGGUGAAGCUUGACUGUAAGAAUACGGGGUAUAAUUAGAUUGAAAUGAAAGCCUGCACUCGUGAUGGUGUUUAGAGAUGUCCACCGGAAAACUAAAAGAGGUAAACAGGAGAAGAUAAAAUAAAGAAAGAAAAUAACUGACAAUUACAUGAGUGAAUGGAAAACACACAUACACAAAGUGUUACAGGUGUAAUUAUACUCUUAUAAAGAAUCAGAAGUGAGAUAGUUUUGAAUGAAGAAAUCAGUGAAACGAUGCAUGAAUUCACUCUGAAUAUAACAUAUAGAGGCAAUGAAGAAUGCAGCUUACACUCACUGAACAUUAACAAAAACAUAUAGGAUUGGCAAUGAAGACCUGCUUACACUUACGGGCAGUUUAAGUACUCAUGAUGAUAAUAAAAUGUCUCAAUUGUGUUUCUUCAGGGGCGAGACAGACCUGGAUCAAUUCCCCACGUGCAGCAGUCGGAAGAACCUAUAGGUUAACUUGACUGGAUAUGUUAAGGCCUGCAACAGUGAAUAACAGCACAAAUUCUCGGGAAGAGCAAAUAUAAGAUCUGCACGUCGGGAAUUAAAAGCGCUGUACGACACGUCGUCGAGGAAAUUGUUGCAAGUGAGUUUCUCCACAUUAAAAUGGGCUCAGGAGAAAGCCACUUAUCUGGGACAAUUAGAAAGUAAGUUCCUGUCCAAAAAGGAUUCAGCGAUGUAAUCCAAGCUAAAGUUCUUCGUUUUCUUUUUGAAAUGACGUCAUUUUGCUGAGUGUGGAAACUAAAUGCGACGACAGGUUUCACUAUCAGCAAAGAAAUGGAUGAAUGGAUGAAUGGAUGAAAGACUGGAAAUACAACAAACAAACGGACUGACUGGUAAAAGAUGACAAGACUUGACCACGACUCAAGGUUAACCACCUCCACCUAGAUAGGAUAAAAGGGUGGAUGAAUUUAUGUGUUUCUUUCUACAGGAGCAGAAAGAGGACAGCGACAUCUGAGGUUGCAUGACGAUUUAACUUUUAAAUGUUACUUUCUGUGUAUGUGAAAGUGUGUACACACCUGCGCAGCGUUAUCAACCACUUGUCAACUUAAAAAGAGAGUGUUGUUUGCCAAUAAUGUUUUCCUACUACAGGAUUUCUGGGCUUAUGUGUGAAGAAACGGUGUUUAUGGGUUAUGAUUUGGUAAGGCGAUUAAACGGCGGGAGACACAUCCUGUCUUGAAAACAGUGUGAUUCUUUUUACAGGAAAUCUUUUAUAGCAUCUCUGGUAGGUAGAUGGCUGACCGCGGUCAAUGUGCUGCUAAUGUUUGCUUUGCUGUUGUUAAGAAUGCGUGAGGAGGGUGCAGUAGAAAACAGACAAGUGACAUGAAAACAAAAGAUUAAUAGUAAAACAAGUAAUAAUAACAAAUAACAAAUUUGGGGACAGUUUGUCGUAGAGCUCACUAACUGGCCAUUAGGGGGCUCUGAGUGAUAAACAAGGGGAGUAACAUUGCCCAAAGUGUGAAUAAAACAGAUUGCGGCAAUAGUAGUGAUUUAAUGAUUGGAGAGAAUCUGAACACGAUACUUGUCUGUUGUGCUGAAUCUUUUAUUACUCUUAUGAUUUACAGGGGGUAAAUAAGCUGUCUGAUUUAACAGAUUUGCUUUUUAGGUGAACUGGGAGUUAAAGGAGGUUAACAGGUAGCUGCUGACUAAUGUUUUUACACAGGGUUACUGGUUGGCGGGAGAGUGUGUUAGAGAGGAUGUGUAAUGUUCUUGUGCAGUUUGCAGUAGGGAGAUUGCAAAUACAACUAGAACUAUUAACGGAGACUAAUUAAAACUAACCUGAAACUGAGGAGGUUCUAUAUAAGGAAGAAUUAAAACAGAUAUAAAAUGCAUCCGAUCUUUAAUUGCAGGUGUGACCAUGAAGAUUUUUGGUACAUAUUGCAGGUUGUUGCUCAUUAUAGAAUUGUGCUCAGCUUCAUAAGGCAAAAAGCUAUAGCAGGGGUCUAUGAUUUCGUUUGUGUUUUAAUGAUUUAGGUAUGGCAAAAUUAAAGGUUUUUGGACAAUUUAGGGAACCAGUGAGAAGCAUGAUUAGAUGAUCAGAAACUGAGUACUAGACUUAAACUUAAGUUAGAAUUAAAAAUGCCCAAUUGGUUGGAGGUCUGUUGGUCACUUUUAUACACACAUAGGCAUGGCAUAGGAUUGGAAUAAACAAAGUCAACAACAUUAGGUUAGGAGAGCCAGCGAGGGAGAUGUGUUGGUUUUCUGUCUCUUGCAGAGAAAGGAACAGACACCAGAUGAGGUCACAGAUAGGCGAGGAUCCUUCGCAGCAGAGAUAGACACAGUGACUGCCGAGACAUCAACUGGGUCCAAGGGUCAUGGCGUUUGGGCUCCAGGUAGUCACCUCAAAAGGAUGGAUCCCAUAAACACAGCAGUAACCAUGAAGGGGUUGGCGGAAAUCCAGGAACACCAGACCAACGAGGUUCGAGAGGCUCUGGGGCUAAAGGGGGACACAUUCCGGUUUCUUUUCCUGGAGGUUCGAGGACCUGAGGAUACACAGAUCGUUGUUCGAAAUCGGGGCAGAAUAAUCCCCUGAUCUGUGCCACGACUGAAGGGUUGUCUAACCCCUGAGGUUGAAGAAUGAAGAGGAGCGUCGCGCCAAGCAGCAUUUGAUUAAUUCAUUCCAGGCUCCUAAUAGGCUAGGGCUCUAGACUGAAGUAAUUGAUAGUUUAAAGGAAUCGUAAUCGUUUUGUAUGUUAACCACAUAUUUUUAUACUCAGAAGUUUAUACUCUCAUUCUUAUAACCUCAUAUUUUUAUCACGAAGUUUAAAGUAAAAGUAAAAGAGCCUGGGAACAGGGAUCAUGAAACUGUGGGGAAAAUUAGAAACUAACGAGGAUGUUGGGGUUGAUAAGUGCUGUAACGUGUUGGUUGAAGUUGUGCUGGCAAAGCCAGCACAAAAAGGGGGAGUUAUUGAGGAAAACAUCUUAUUUUACUGUCACUGUAUAUCAUUCAUAAAGCACCGUCAUUAUUUCAUUAUUACUUCAUUAGUCCGCAUCAGCUUAUCAUCAAUAUUAUCAUGUAUCACAAUACUCUAUCAGUUAGUAGAGCACCAGUUUAGCUGGGGGUCCAGUCAGCCCGCAGUAAAGUCAUAUGAGGACACGGUGAACUUUUGUUGGCCGGAAACGGACACUCUCACACAACUACACAUUCUACACACUAUUGGUUAUGUUCCCAGAAUACAGAGGAGUGGAAACAUCUGGAACAUGUUGUUGUUCUUAGCCAUACAAGGACAUAGAAGGGUGAACUGACUGAUACUUAUCAGGUGACUUGACGUCAUCAUUGCAAUAAAAACCUUGUGUUAGGGUUGUUCUUGGGAGAUUUGCUCGUGAAGACUUGUGACGCUCAUCUUCCCCAUAUGUACAUAUGUAUAAUAAAAUCACUAUUCUGACAUCUACUGAGAGACCAUGCAGUCGUUUGUCUCUUCCUCAAAUUCGAACCUUGACA